CCUCUUGUAGCUCAAUGGUAGAGCGCCGUUUUGUGAGACCGGUGACCUGCGUUCGAUUCGCAGCAGGGGGA
This 71-nucleotide transfer RNA is filed under the name Mycobacterium phage Bongo. It matches the Rfam family "tRNA". From Rfam's summary of the family: Transfer RNA (tRNA) molecules are approximately 80 nucleotides in length. Their secondary structure includes four short double-helical elements and three loops (D, anti-codon, and T loops). Further hydrogen bonds mediate the characteristic L-shaped molecular structure. tRNAs have two regions of fundamental functional importance: the anti-codon, which is responsible for specific mRNA codon recognition, and the 3' end, to which the tRNAs corresponding amino acid is attached (by aminoacyl-tRNA synthetases). tRNAs cope with the degeneracy of the genetic code in two manners: having more than one tRNA (with a specific anti-codon) for a particular amino acid; and 'wobble' base-pairing, i.e. permitting non-standard base-pairing at the 3rd anti-codon position. RNAcentral also lists the same sequence under 1 other name. Lineage: Duplodnaviria; Heunggongvirae; Uroviricota; Caudoviricetes; Vilmaviridae. The record is from Rfam by way of RNAcentral.